GACGAACGCUGGCGGCGUGCUUAACACAUGCAAGUCGAACGGAAAGGCCCUGCUUGCAGGGUACUCGAGUGGCGAACGGGUGAGUAACACGUGGGUGAUCUGCCCUGCACUUCGGGAUAAGCCUGGGCAACUGGGUCUAAUACCGGAUAGGAGCCAUUUUUAGUGUGAUGGUUGGAAAGUUUUUUCGGUGUAGGAUGAGCUCGCGGCCUAUCAGCUUGUUGGUGGGGUAAUGGCCUACCAAGGCGGCGACGGGUAGCCGGCCUGAGAGGGUGGACGGCCACAUUGGGACUUAGAUACGGCCCAGACUCCUACGGGAGGCAGCAGUGGGGAAGAUUGCACAAUGGGCGCAAGCCUGAUGCAGCGACGCCGCGUGGGGGAUGACGGCCUUCGGGUUGUAAACUCCUUUCGCUAGGGACGAAGCUUUUUGUGACGGUACCUAGAUAAGAAGCACCGGCUAACUACGUG
This 465-nucleotide ribosomal RNA is filed under the name uncultured bacterium. Its description in RNAcentral is "partial 16S ribosomal RNA". It matches the Rfam family "Bacterial small subunit ribosomal RNA", at positions 28 to 507 of the family's 1533-position model. The record is from RNAcentral.